ACUGUCACGUCAGAAAUUGAUGA
Molecule: small nuclear RNA, 23 nt
Filed under: Arabidopsis thaliana (thale cress)
Lineage: Eukaryota; Viridiplantae; Streptophyta; Magnoliopsida; Brassicales; Brassicaceae
Description: snRNA_09030
Source: RNAcentral